AACGAACGCUGGCGGCAGGCUUAACACAUGCAAGUCGAACGCCCCGCAAGGGGAGUGGCAGACGGGUGAGUAACGCGUGGGAAUCUACCCAUCUCUGCGGAAUAGCUCUGGGAAACUGGAAUUAAUACCGCAUACGCCCUACGGGGGAAAGAUCUAUCGGGGAUGGAUGAGCCCGCGUUGGAUUAGCUAGUUGGUGGGGUAAAGGCCUACCAAGGCGACGAUCCAUAGCUGGUCUGAGAGGAUGAUCAGCCACAUUGGGACUGAGACACGGCCCAAACUCCUACGGGAGGCAGCAGUGGGGAAUAUUGGACAAUGGGCGCAAGCCUGAUCCAGCCAUGCCGCGUGAGUGAUGAAGGCCUUAGGGUUGUAAAGCUCUUUCACCGAUGAAGAUAAUGACGGUAGUCGGAGAAGAAGCCCCGGCUAACUUCGUGCCAGCAGCCGCGGUAA
Molecule: ribosomal RNA, 447 nt
Filed under: uncultured bacterium
Lineage: Bacteria
Description: partial 16S ribosomal RNA
Rfam family: Bacterial small subunit ribosomal RNA
Source: RNAcentral